Molecule: long non-coding RNA, 767 nt
Filed under: Oryza brachyantha (malo sina)
Lineage: Eukaryota; Viridiplantae; Streptophyta; Magnoliopsida; Poales; Poaceae
Description: long non-coding RNA (OBRA_LNC003164)
Source: RNAcentral
UCUUUAUAUUCCUUGAAUCUUCCUAACUAAAUUCCAUUGCAUCAUUUUCAUAAAUUCCGUUGACUCAAUUCUCUGCAAACUCCGACCAUUCUAUUGUUGCUUUGGGCCAAAACUUUCGCUUUAAUUGUCUCUUCUCUCCUGGCCCAGUUAACUAGCCAGGUCGGCCCACCUCCCAUUUCAGCCCAGUGGCCCAGCGUCCAUUCUCCCUCCUCUGUUUCCCAUCGGGAAGCCGCCGCCGCCGGCAUCAGCAAGCGCCGCCGCCGGCUCUUGCUGCCACCAGCCAGCCGCGUUCGGUUUCCCCGGAACAACCACGCCGCCGUCACCAGCUAUUUUGGUGGGCGCCGCUGUUGCCACCAGAGGAAGCCGGCGACGCCAUCGCCAUCGCCGGUCACCAAACAACCACCGGCCACUGUUUUUGCCACCGCCUAAACCGCCGUCGCCCAAGGCUAGCCACUGCCAGCCGUAGCUCGCCAGUACGCCGCCGCCACCGCCCUCACCCAAAACCAGCACCACCUCAAAGAACUUUGGCCGCCGCCACUGUUGCUUCCCGUGGGCACCGCCAUUUUCGCCGGGCGCCGUCGCCGCUCCUUCCAGAGAAAGCUACCGCCUCCGCCGCCUGUAUAUACAGCAACCAAAGCUCUCUUCCUCUCCGGAGCCGCCGCAAUAGCCUACAAUAAAUGUAGAUAAUAAUACCCCCUCGAAAUUAAAAGAAAUAAAAUGUAUAUAUAAUAAUAUCACCUUAGAAAUUAAGAGUGGAGGAUGUCGAU